AUUGCUUCCCUGCAUUUUGGCUAAGAUCAAGUGUAGUAUCUGUUCUUAUCAGUUUAAAACAACCAGCUCAGAGUAGGGGUUGGGAGGGGGGGCUCACCAAAC
This 102-nucleotide small nuclear RNA is filed under the name Erinaceus europaeus (western European hedgehog). Its description in RNAcentral is "U2 spliceosomal RNA (ENSEEUG00000022788.1)". It matches the Rfam family "U2 spliceosomal RNA", at positions 1 to 61 of the family's 192-position model. From Rfam's summary of the family: U2 is a small nuclear RNA (snRNA) component of the spliceosome (involved in pre-mRNA splicing). Complementary binding between U2 snRNA (in an area lying towards the 5' end but 3' to hairpin I) and the branchpoint sequence (BPS) of the intron results the bulging out of an unpaired adenosine, on the BPS, which initiates a nucleophilic attack at the intronic 5' splice site, thus starting the first of two transesterification reactions that mediate splicing. The record is from RNAcentral. Lineage: Eukaryota; Metazoa; Chordata; Mammalia; Eulipotyphla; Erinaceidae.